GCCUAAACAGCUAGCCCACACAAGGAAAGCAACAGCCACCGUUAAUAACCCCACACUUACGAGAUCUUUUCACCAAAACAUUUUUCCCCCUUAGUAUGGGAGACAGAACAGGGACACAGGCGCUAUAGAACAAGUACCGCAAGGGAAGGCUGAAAGAGAGGUGAAACAGCCCAGUUAAGGUCAGAGAAGCAGAGAUUUAUCCUCGUACCUUUUGCAUCAUGACUUAGUCAGCACCCACCAAGCAAAGAGCCCUUUAGUUUGGUACCCCGAAACUUGGCGAGCUACUCCGAGACAGUCUAUUAUAGGACACACCCGUCUCUGUGGCAAAAGAGUGGGAAGAGCUUUGAGUAGAGGUGACAGACCUACCGAGCCCAGUUAUAGCUGGUUGCCUGGCAGUUGAAUAGAAGUUCAGCCUCUUGAUUUUUCUAACCUCCCCAGGCUAAACCGAGCCCCGGCCCGAGAGAACAUCAAGAGAGUUAUUCAAGGGUGGGACAGCACCCUAGAAAAUAGACACAACUUUGCGAGCGGGCUAAAGAUCAAAAGGUACAAGGGCCUGUGCCCGAGUGGGCUUAAGAGCAGCCACCUCCCUACAAAAGCGUUAUAGCUUAAGCAUAAUCCCCCCCCUACAAUUUCGGCAGAAAUAUCUUAAACCCCUUUAGUUACCAGGCCCUCCCAUGCCCCCAUGGGAAGGAUACUGCUAACAUGAGUAAUAAGAAAGAUAUGACUUUCUCCUAGCAGACAUGUAUAUCAGAACGGACCCCCCGCUGAACAUUAACGCCCCCACCAUAGAGGGCAUUGAGCCAUGACUACUAAAACUAGAAGCCCCCUCAACUACUAGCGUUAACCCUACACAGGUCUGCCCUUAGGAAAGACAAUAAGAGAAAGAAGGAACUAGGCAAACGCUUUUAGCCUCGCCUGUUUACCAAAAACACCGCCUCUUGCCCCCACAGUAUAAGAGGUCCCGCCUGCCCUGUGACGAGAGUUUAACGGCCGCGGUAUUUUGACCGUGCGAAGGUAGCGUAAUCACUUGUCUUUUAAAUGGAGACCAGUAUGAAUGGCACAACGAGGGCUAAACUGUCUCCUUCCUCUAGUCAAUGAAAUUGAUCUGCCCGUGCAGAAGCGGGCAUAUGCACAUAAGACGAGAAGACCCUAUGGAGCUUGAGACGUCGAGGCAGCCCGCGUUAAUGACCUCCCCUUACGGCACUAAACAUGAGCGGCUUAUUCUGCCCCUGUCUUUGGUUGGGGCGACCGCGGGGAAACACAAAACCCCCGAGUGGAAUGGGAUAAUCCCCGAGAUAAGGCCCUCAGGCCUACCCACCAGAAAAUCUGACCAGCAAGAUCCGGAAAUCCGAUCAACGGACCCAGUUACCCUAGGGAUAACAGCGCAAUCCCCUUUUAGAGCCCACAUCGACAAGGGGGUUUACGACCUCGAUGUUGGAUCAGGACCUCCUAGUGGUGCAGCCGCUACUAAGGGUUC
This 1477-nucleotide ribosomal RNA is filed under the name Zebrus zebrus (zebra goby). RNAcentral's name for it is "partial 16S ribosomal RNA". It matches the Rfam family "Bacterial large subunit ribosomal RNA", at positions 200 to 2574 of the family's 2925-position model. The record is from RNAcentral. Lineage: Eukaryota; Metazoa; Chordata; Actinopteri; Gobiiformes; Gobiidae.